ACCCUAAUCAAUCAUAUGCCUUGGAGACAUCAAUCUCUAGCCCUGCUACUAUAAUUUUCCCUUGAGACAAACAUUUAAUGUAAUGAUUAAAUUCAAACACGAUCAAAGCAUUAUCUGUUAACAAUCGACCCUCAAUAAACGCACUAUGAUUUGGUGACAUCAACAUUGACAAACAGAUUUUUAACCGAUUCGCAAGCACUUUGGACAAGAUUCUAAACAAA
This 221-nucleotide long non-coding RNA is filed under the name Daucus carota (carrot). RNAcentral describes it as "long non-coding RNA (DCAR_LNC000231)". The record is from RNAcentral. Lineage: Eukaryota; Viridiplantae; Streptophyta; Magnoliopsida; Apiales; Apiaceae.